GAGUGAUCUGACAGUGACAUGUCUGGCCAAUUAUCUCCCUGGUGGAUUCAGCUGAUCUAGCUGACUAGGUAUCCUCCCUUAGCUCCAGGUGUUUCCAUUCCACAUUGAUCCACUUGGUCAAAAAAGACAACCUUCCCCUGUAGAAGAGGACUGGAUUGGUCUUCACUCAAGGUUGUAUGAGUAGCUAAACUUCUCUGCUAGAGCCUCCAAACAAGCUCUCAAGAACACAGUCAUGUCAUAGGAAGGAAAAUGGAUGGCAGUAGAUAUCUGAUCAGUGAAAUUAACUAGACUCAGCAAUUGUUUUCAC
RNAcentral lists this small nuclear RNA (307 nucleotides) under Nannospalax galili (Upper Galilee mountains blind mole rat). RNAcentral describes it as "7SK RNA (ENSNGAG00000005655.1)". It matches the Rfam family "7SK RNA". Rfam says of the family: 7SK was discovered as an abundant small nuclear RNA in the mid-70s but a possible function has only recently been suggested. Two independent studies have found that 7SK RNA binds the CDK9/cyclin T complex (known as elongation factor P-TEFb). The record is from Rfam by way of RNAcentral. Lineage: Eukaryota; Metazoa; Chordata; Mammalia; Rodentia; Spalacidae.